Molecule: long non-coding RNA, 698 nt
Organism: Limulus polyphemus (Atlantic horseshoe crab)
Lineage: Eukaryota; Metazoa; Arthropoda; Merostomata; Xiphosura; Limulidae
Exons: 3
Source: RefSeq, a predicted model, not a curated record
UACAAUUGUUCUAGUGGAUUUCUAUGAAGAGUUGAAAGGUGUUUCCAAUGCUGUGUUUCAUUAAGAUAUGAUCAAACCACUAGAUGCAACAUUAUAAAAGGGUAACAACCAAGGCCUGAACAAAAAGUAAGCAAAGAAUACAAGUAAAAUGCAUUAAAACUGAGAAUGGAGUGAUGGUUUCUUAAGAAAAAAUAAAGCUAAUCUUUAGUAUGGGAAAUUAUGUGGGAUCAACUACUUGUUUAGACCAGUGUAUAAAAAAACAUCUGAAGCUUGGAAAUUGGUAGUUUUACAAAUAUCUAAAUCAAGAAUGUGACAGGGCUGCAGAUGGAAAAAACUCUGAAAUAAUAUAAAGGUUCAACAACAAGCAAGAUGUAAGAAGUGAAGAAACUUUAACCAUCAAGAAAGUUAAACCAAAGUUGAAUUAUAAUUCGUCAUCAAUUGACAUCCUCCUAAUAACUCAUAACAACAACCAGGCAGCUAUUCUGUUUCUCUCAUAACUUAUAAUGACAAUCUACUCUUUCUUUCAUAACUCAUAAUGAUACUCAGCGAUUAUGAUUCUCUCAUAAUUGAUAACAAUGAUCAAACUAUUCUAUGCAUUAGAUGUAUUACUAUAUAAAACAAAUGUGUGAUUCAUAUAAGUGAUGCAAUAUAAAUCAAGAUAAAUUAUUGUUAUUCUAAAACUAUAUGAAAUACUACUG